RNAcentral lists this ribosomal RNA (253 nucleotides) under uncultured bacterium. Its description in RNAcentral is "partial 16S ribosomal RNA". It matches the Rfam family "Bacterial small subunit ribosomal RNA", at positions 524 to 776 of the family's 1533-position model. The record is from RNAcentral.
UACAGAGGUCCCAAGCGUUGUUCGGAUUCACUGGGCGUAAAGGGCGCGUAGGCGGCUUAUCAAGUCAGGCGUGAAAUUCCCGGGCUCAACCUGGGGGCUGCGCUUGAUACUGAUUGGCUUGAAUGCGGGAGAGGAUAGUGGAAUUCCCAGUGUAGAGGUGAAAUUCGUAGAUACUGGGAAGAACACCGGUGGCGAAGGCGGCUAUCUGGCCCGUAAUUGACGCUGAGGCGCGAAAGCGUGGGGAGCAAACAGG